AGCCGCGGUAACACCGGCAGCUCUAGUGGUAACAAUUUUAUUGGGCCUAAAGCGUCCGUAGCCGGUUUAAUAAGUCUCUGGUGAAAUCCUGUAGCUUAACUGUGGGAAUUGCUGGAGAUACUAUUAGACUUGAGACCGGGAGAGGUUAGAGGUACUCCCAGGGUAGAGGUGAAAUUCUGUAAUCCUGGGAGGACCGCCUGUUGCGAAGGCGUCUAACUGGAACGGUUCUGACGGUGAGGGACGAAAGUUAGGGGCGCGAACCGGAUUAGAUACCCGGGUAGUCCUAACUGUAAACGAUGCGGACUUGGUGUUGGGUGGCUUUGAGCUGCUCCAGUGCCGAAGGGAAGCUGUUAAGUCCGCCGCCUGGGAAGUACGGUCGCAAGACUGAAACUUAAGGAAUUGGCGGGGGAGCACCACAACGCGUGGAGCCUGCCGGUUUAAUUGGAUUCAACGCCGGACAUCUCACCAGAGGCGACAGCUGUAUGAUAGCCAGGUUGAUGACUUUGCCUGACUAGCUGAGUGGAGGUGCAUGG
This 533-nucleotide ribosomal RNA is filed under the name uncultured archaeon. RNAcentral's name for it is "bacterial SSU rRNA". It matches the Rfam family "Archaeal small subunit ribosomal RNA", at positions 463 to 997 of the family's 1478-position model. The record is from RNAcentral.